Molecule: small RNA, 453 nt
Filed under: Pan troglodytes (chimpanzee)
Lineage: Eukaryota; Metazoa; Chordata; Mammalia; Primates; Hominidae
Description: processed transcript
Source: RNAcentral
CUUCCUCCAUCUUCCCUUGGAUCUGUAUCUUGGAGUUUCUGGGCCUCCAGGCUGGUAGGUCAGCAGGUUCUUCUUCUACUGCAGCAUUGCUGUCUCAUCUGCUGCAGGCUGUGCAUCUCCUCCUCUGUUCUUCAGUUUAGGGCCUCCAUCUGUGUCCUCUUUCCAGAAAUUGUGACAUAUCUAGCUCACAGAUUUAAAGAAAGCUUCCAGUUCAAAUGCUGCAAAAUCCAAUCUCCCGAAAUCUGGUCUCCGUCCUCCCGGAUACUCACGUCUCCCGGCAGCCAAACUGGCGGCAUUUGGCUUUGUCCGGAGCUCCAGCGUCUCCUCAGUCUCCAGCACCCAGUCCGGGGACAGUGCACAGCCAGAGCAGGGCCGGCCAGCCACCCGUUCAACCUUUGGGAAUGAAGAACAGCCAGUUCUGAAGGCAUCUCUGCCUUCUAAGGACACACCCAA